GCUAGUAAUCGCGGAUCAGAAUGCCGCGGUGAAUACGUUCCCGGGUCUUGUACACACCGCCCGUCACACCAUGGGAGUCGGAAAUGCCCGAAGUCUGUGACCCAACCGGAAGGAAGGAGCAGCCGAAGGCAGGUCUGAUGACUGGGGUGAAGUCGUAACAAGGUACC
Molecule: ribosomal RNA, 167 nt
Filed under: uncultured bacterium
Lineage: Bacteria
Description: partial 16S ribosomal RNA
Rfam family: Bacterial small subunit ribosomal RNA
Source: RNAcentral